This is a long non-coding RNA of Pyrus x bretschneideri (Chinese white pear), 902 nucleotides long. RefSeq lists it as uncharacterized. The record is from RefSeq and is a predicted model, not a curated record. The transcript is spliced from 7 exons. Lineage: Eukaryota; Viridiplantae; Streptophyta; Magnoliopsida; Rosales; Rosaceae.
UCAAAAUUGGCCCAACAUGUAAAAGUGAGACAAAGGGUUGUAGCUACCGCAGUUACGUAUAUGAGACGAGUGUACACCAAGAAGAGUAUGUCUGAGUAUGAUCCACGUCUUGUAACCUGCCUGUACCUGGCAUCAAAAGCAGAAGAAAGCACAGUGCAAGCUAAACUUCUAGUAUUUUACAUAAGAAAGAAAGAUUUAUACCGAUGAUAAGUAUAGAUAUGAGAUCAGAGACAUACUUGAAAUGGAAAUGAAGAUUUUAGAAGCUCUCAACUAUUAUCUGGUUGAAUACCAUCCGUAUCGCUCAUUGUCUCAGUUGCUUCAGGAUGCAGGCUUAAACGAUAUAAGUAUGACUCAGUUAACUUGGGGAGUUGUAAAUGACACGUACAAGAUGGACCUUGCACUUGUACAUUGCUAGCGUGCUUACUCUUGAGGGAACUUCUGUACAAAUGGCUUGAAACUGGGGAAAAAAUAUAGUUGCGUUCGGUCCAGCAUGCGCACUGGCAAUGUCACUUGUAGAUUAUUGUAUAACGUGGUGAAAAACAUAUCAAUGGAGAUACUAGAUUUCUAAGAAAUCCACCGAACGAUCCCAGAUGAGAGGUUUAAUUCUGCUCUCAAUAAGCUUCCCUACAAAUCAUAGAUGGCCGGAGAAGGCUAACGCUACUGAGAAACCAUCGCCUUUCAAUGUAUGAAGAACUCUAUCAAUGGAUCUUUCACCCUACUGGAAGUGCAAUAAUGUUGUAUAAAUCAGAAAGAUUCCGUUGUAAGUAACCUAUCAUGUAAGAUUCUUCUUGGCCUGCUGCUUCUCUGUAAUUACAUUCACCAAGCACAAAAUCAUAUCGUAGAAGUCGGUGUUCUCGAGAUGCAAGGGAAGUGAUUUCCGCAAAAGGUUGUGUAGAAAUGAU